UGCCUACGGGGGGCAGCAGUGGGGGAUAUUGCACAAUGGGGGAAACCCUGAUGCAGCGACGCCGCGUGUGGGAAGACGGUCCUCUGGAUUGUAAACCACUGUCCCCAGGGACGAAGAUGACGGUACCUGGGGAGGAAGCUCCGGCUAACUACGUGCCAGCAGCCGCGGUAAUACGUAGGGAGCGAGCGUUGUCCGGAAUUACUGGGUGUAAAGGGAGCGUAGGCGGGACUGCAAGUUGGGUGUCAAAUCUACCGGCUCAACCGGUAGCCGCACUCAAAACUGCAGUUCUUGAGUGAAGUAGAGGG
RNAcentral lists this ribosomal RNA (305 nucleotides) under uncultured bacterium. RNAcentral describes it as "bacterial SSU rRNA". It matches the Rfam family "Bacterial small subunit ribosomal RNA", at positions 335 to 658 of the family's 1533-position model. The record is from RNAcentral.